AUUGAACGCUGGCGGCAUGCCUUACACAUGCAAGUCGAACGGUAACAGGUCUUCGGAUGCUGACGAGUGGCGAACGGGUGAGUAAUACAUCGGAACGUGCCCGAUCGUGGGGGAUAACGAGGCGAAAGCUUUGCUAAUACCGCAUACGAUCUACGGAUGAAAGCGGGGGAUCUUCGGACCUCGCGCGGACGGAGCGGCCGAUGGCAGAUUAGGUAGUUGGUGGGAUAAAAGCUUACCAAGCCGACGAUCUGUAGCUGGUCUGAGAGGAUGAUCAGCCACACUGGGACUGAGACACGGCCCAGCCUCCUACGGGAGGCAGCAGUGGGGAAUUUUGGACAAUGGGCGGAAGCCUGAUCCAGCCAUGCCGCGUGCAGGAUGAAGGCCUUCGGGUUGUAAACUGCUUUUGUACGGAACGAAAAGCCUCUUUCUAAUAAAGAGGGGUCAUGACGGUACCGUAAGAAUAAGCACCGGCUAACUACGUG
RNAcentral lists this ribosomal RNA (482 nucleotides) under uncultured bacterium. Its description in RNAcentral is "partial 16S ribosomal RNA". It matches the Rfam family "Bacterial small subunit ribosomal RNA", at positions 30 to 507 of the family's 1533-position model. The record is from RNAcentral.